CAGCCGCCGCGGUAAUACGAAGGGUGCAAGCGUUAAUCGGAAUUACUGGGCGUAAAGCGUGCGUAGGCGGUUUGUUAAGUCUGCUGUGAAAUCCCCGGGCUCAACCUGGGAAUGGCAAUGGAUACUGGCAAGCUAGAGUGUGUCAGAGGAUGAUGGAAUUCCCGGUGUAGCGGUGAAAUGCGUAGAGAUCGGGAGGAACAUCAGUGGCGAAGGCGGUCAUCUGGGACAACACUGACGCUGAGGCACGAAAGCGUGGGGAGCAAACAGGAUUAGAUACCCCUGUAGUCCCUGUCUCUUAUAC
This 301-nucleotide ribosomal RNA is filed under the name uncultured bacterium. Its description in RNAcentral is "partial 16S ribosomal RNA". It matches the Rfam family "Bacterial small subunit ribosomal RNA", at positions 509 to 807 of the family's 1533-position model. The record is from RNAcentral.